This 1234-nucleotide long non-coding RNA is filed under the name Gallus gallus (chicken). RNAcentral's name for it is "lncRNA (ENSGALG00010016401.1)". The record is from RNAcentral. Lineage: Eukaryota; Metazoa; Chordata; Aves; Galliformes; Phasianidae.
AGUGCUUAUGGACAGAGAGAGAAGGCUGGACCAUGAGUUCUCCUCUGUGUACUUUGGUGUGAGUUCUGGCAGUAUAGCAGCAAGUAUGGCACUGGACAAGCGUCAAGGAAGGGACACAGGAAUUCUCACCUCUGUUGUUCCAUGGCAACAGAGGGGCAGUGCGACACAACGAUGUCUGACAUGGAAGUGCGUACGAAGUAAAGUGCCCUCAGUCUUAUUUGCUGGCCAUUGCGAUUCCUUCAGUGACUCUUUUCCUAGAACCCUUGUCAGUAGCCCUGUCCCUAUAGACUCUUUCCAAUGACCCAAUGCUGUUUACACAUUCCUGCAUGUUGGUUGGUGUUUUCUUUUUGCUGCUGUGUGAUGUCUUUGGCUGACAUUCAGCUUGUGAUGACUCCGGAUCCUGCAAAGCUGCUAAGCAGUUAGUCAUUUCCCAUUCUGUAUUCAUGCAGCUGAAACGAAGAAAUGAAUGUAGAACUUUGCAUCCAAAUUUUGUCAGACCAUUCCUGUUUCUCAGAGCUCAUUCAGGCUCCAACUCCUGUCAUCCAAAGUGCUUCCAGCUCCUCCUGGCCUGGAGUCAGCUGUAAAUUUACAGAGUACACUCUAUUCCAUCAUCCAAGUUAAUAAUGUAAAUAUUGAAUAGCGUCAGUCACCAGACAGACUCUUGGGAAACCCCUCUCAGUGCACCCUUUUAAUGUGCUGGUGAACCAUUGAUCACUAACUUCUUAGCACAGCAUUCUGGCCAGUUUUGCAUCCACCCUAUGGCUGCUCUUUUGUUACUGUUCUGUGGUUGGGGCUGUUCCUGUAAGCACCUGCUCUUCUGUCAAAAAAGUGUUUGUGUUUUUCCCCCCCCCCGGUAUUUUCCUGCUGGUAACCCUGGGGAACAGUGCCCAGACAGGCGGUGAGCGCACAGCAUCUGAGGAGUUCCUCUGAGCCCUCAGACAGCAAUUAGCACAGGAUGAAAAGUUGGGGUACCCACAGGCAAUUUCUCUUUUCAUUCUGUCAUUUCUCUUCUAUUCAGUGUUCUGAAGAAAUGCCCUCUGUGCUUAUGCAUUUUUUUCUUAUAAUGCUCUCGUGUCCCUCAGAGGAAAGAGAAUAUUUAUUUGAUGGUGAGCUAAUGUUAAACACUGUGGUUUUUUUUUUACCCCCCAAUACUAGGGGACUAUUUCCCUAAUAUUGACAUUUUAAUACUAUAUAUAAUAUCAAGAAAGAAUGUAAAUAAAACAGGUUUUAUAGG